AUCGCAGCCUGCAACCCGGCUGCGUGAAGCUGGAAUCGCUAGUAAUCGCGGAUCAGAAUGCCGCGGUGAAUACGUUCCCGGGCCUUGUACACACCGCCCGUCACACCAUGGGAGCCGGUAAUACCCGAAGUCAGUAGUCCAACCACGUGAGGACGCUGCCGAAGGUAGGAUUGGCGACUGGGGUGAAGUCGUAACAAGGUAGC
This 203-nucleotide ribosomal RNA is filed under the name uncultured bacterium. RNAcentral describes it as "partial 16S ribosomal RNA". It matches the Rfam family "Bacterial small subunit ribosomal RNA", at positions 1297 to 1500 of the family's 1533-position model. The record is from RNAcentral.